This 425-nucleotide ribosomal RNA is filed under the name uncultured bacterium. RNAcentral's name for it is "partial 16S ribosomal RNA". It matches the Rfam family "Bacterial small subunit ribosomal RNA", at positions 355 to 774 of the family's 1533-position model. The record is from RNAcentral.
UGGGGAAUAUUGCACAAUGGGCGCAAGCCUGAUGCAGCCAUGCCGCGUGUAUGAAGAAGGCCUUCGGGUUGUAAAGUACUUUCAGCGGGGAGGAAGGUGUUGAGGUUAAUAACCUCAGCAAUUGACGUUACCCGCAGAAGAAGCACCGGCUAACUCCGUGCCAGCAGCCGCGGUAAUACGGAGGGUGCAAGCGUUAAUCGGAAUUACUGGGCGUAAAGCGCACGCAGGCGGUCUGUCAAGUCGGAUGAAAUCCCCGGGCUCAACCUGGGAACUGCAUUCGAAACUGGCAGGCUAGAGUCUUGUAGAGGGGGGUAGAAUUCCAGGUGUAGCGGUGAAAUGCGUAGAGAUCUGGAGGAAUACCGGUGGCGAAGGCGGCCCCCUGGACAAAGACUGACGCUCAGGUGCGAAAGCGUGGGGAGCAAACA